Long non-coding RNA from Brachypodium distachyon (stiff brome), 666 nucleotides. RefSeq lists it as uncharacterized. The transcript is spliced from 3 exons. The record is from RefSeq and is a predicted model, not a curated record. Lineage: Eukaryota; Viridiplantae; Streptophyta; Magnoliopsida; Poales; Poaceae.
CGGGUUGUAUGGUGUCUAUCGCUUGGAGCGACGUCUUCAAUUUGCUUGGACACGACCGAGAGCCCGAGACGCACCGCCCUGCCGCCCCCGGUCACGAAGCUAGGGCGCGAUCCAGGGGCGCUCGACCGAACUGGCACGUCCGUCCCCAGUGGCCAUUCGCCCUCGCCGCUACCGCCUUGCCCUCCGCGGCUCCACUGUUCGCCUAGUCGCCGCACCGCCGUAGCGGCUGUCCCCAAAUCCCCAAUCCUGCACCAUAUCGCUGUCCCUAAAUCCCGAAUCCUGCACUACGUCGCGCGGCCGUUGCAGCCUGCAGCCCUGCAGGCGCUUGCUGCGUCUUGCAGCCAGCAACCCAAUCAAGGCGACAGGGCCUGAACCCCAAUUCUGCAACUGCAAUUUCCCUUCACGAGGUGCCACCCAAGGCAGGGGAAGCUAAUGGAGAGAUUUUUAAAAAAAUCUUCUAAUAUGCCUGAAACGGAAGGUUGUAGGCUAGAUUGUUAGAAAGAUGUGUCGAUGUUAUCAUUUGCAACUUGCAACUUUGGAACAAGGUAUUUUCAUAUUGAUGUAAACCAUUUUUUCGGCUUGUCUUGUUGGCUUAUGUUGUUAUGCAUAACAGAAUAUGUGUGUAUAUAUAGCCAUAUAUGCAUAUACAUUUUUGCCCCCUCUCAA